This is a long non-coding RNA of Homo sapiens (human), 483 nucleotides long. Lineage: Eukaryota; Metazoa; Chordata; Mammalia; Primates; Hominidae. The record is from Ensembl.
GAGGAAAAGUAAAAGUAAUUUUGUCAUUUCCUGAAACUUCAAGUUAAACCUUUAAGCUGUUCAUUUCCUAAAAGGGUGAAAACGCGGGCACCCCUCGAGCUAGUUCAUCGCCUUUUAACCUGUUGUUGGAUCUUUCCAGAUCACCACACCACAUCACCCAGCCACUCUGCCCAAUGGGAGGGCAGACAGUGUUCCAGUGUAGGAGGAAGGGGUGUAAGGUGCGGGCAGUUUGUGAGGAGGGCACCAACGAGAGCUACUGUGAGAAAGUCUGCAUGGUCAAAAAGUGGAUUACCAAGAACAAAGCAUCAUAAUGUUGUCCAGUGGACCCCAGGUGCACAGCAGCUCCCUGAGGUACACAGAAGCUCUUGCUCACCUGCCACUUCCAGCCUUGGUAUUUUCCAGUUGUCGGGUAAGGAGUUUAGCAAUGGCGGUGAAGCUGUUGCUCAUGCGGAAGAUGUCUCUGCUCUGAGGGCCCAAGAUUGA